CAAAUCCGCAGUCAGAGAGCAGCUUCCCCACUCCCCUCCAAGAGCCCCCUUUCUUGGUGGGGUUCAUGCCCUCCUGCAUCUGGGGGCUGCUGGGUCCUUGCUUGGAAGUAGCAGCUUUAUGGAGCUCCAGUGACGAGCCGACCACUCACCUGGAAUUCUUGGAGCAGCUCCUGGCUUUUCCUGCACUCCCGGGGCUUUGCUCCUGAUUCUGCAUCCUGCAAGAGAGGGUGAUGCAAGUCCUCGAGCAUCUAUCUCCUGCUCCUUGGAGCUCCGUAGACAUCUCCCUUCUCCUGUACAUGUUCCCUGGCCAUUGACGCCCACAGACAGGCAGAGGGUGAGCCACAAAGGCAGCGGUGGGAAGCUGAAGAAAAACCUGGCAGGAAACAAGAACCUUACCAGAUUAGCAAGUGACCAGAACCAAGACAUCAAAGGACCUGGAUAAAAGGGAGGAGAUCACUCGGGGGGGAGUUUAAAUACAGGCAGCUUAAGUGGCCACAGAGAGCUAGAUUGAGCGAUGAAAGAUGACCUCAGAGUCACAGCUCAGAGGCCCAGGGAGCAGCUGGCACGGGGAACCGGAGCUGUGGGAAGGGACAAGGGCUUUGCCUUCAGAGGAGGCGAGUCCUCAGGAGCAGGAGGGACCCCAGCUCACACCCCCUGCUUUUGUUUUUCGUCUUCAUUUUGAAAUAAUUACAGGUCCACAGGAUGUGGCCACAAAUAGCCCAUGAAGUCCUGCAGAGUCCUCACCUGUCUUUCUCCAGUGGUGACAUCCUGUACAAGGCAGUCUUUCAUUAAAGCAAAGAACUGGGCUCCACAACACUGUUAGGUCUCGUCCAAUUGUGUGUGUGUGUGUGUGUGUGUGUGAGUGUGUGUGUUGUGUAGUCCUGCCAUGUGUACGGUUAUGAUGUAAGCACCACAAUCAAGCUACAGAACCUUUUUUCCUCCUCCAAGGAGUGGUUUACAGUCUUACUUGACACUGGAGCUGCCUAUCUGUUUUCUGUCUCCCCGUGUUUGUCUUUUUGAGAAUGUGAGAUCAAUG
RNAcentral lists this long non-coding RNA (1036 nucleotides) under Heterocephalus glaber (naked mole-rat). RNAcentral's name for it is "lncRNA (ENSHGLG00100040140.1)". The record is from RNAcentral. Lineage: Eukaryota; Metazoa; Chordata; Mammalia; Rodentia; Bathyergidae.